GUUCUCACCGAAUAUUGACGGCUCUGUCUUGGAUGGUCAUUCUGUUGAGAGUGAUAACCAGAGGAGCUCAACUUCAUUGGUGGGGGUUGA
This 90-nucleotide microRNA precursor is filed under the name Hordeum vulgare. Its description in RNAcentral is "miR6198 stem-loop (hvu-MIR6198)". The record is from miRBase by way of RNAcentral. Lineage: Eukaryota; Viridiplantae; Streptophyta; Magnoliopsida; Poales; Poaceae.